This 63-nucleotide transfer RNA is filed under the name Rhabdophis tigrinus (Tiger keelback). Its description in RNAcentral is "tRNA-Lys". Lineage: Eukaryota; Metazoa; Chordata; Lepidosauria; Squamata; Natricidae. The record is from RNAcentral.
CAUUAAGAAGCUUCUAUAGCAUUAACCUUUUAAGUUAAAGAAGAAACACUGUUUCCUUGAUGA